GAUGUUUUGAAAAUAUUUUUUAUUAUUUUUAUAUAUUUUUAAUUUUAUUUCUAAUUGAUUAUAAAAUUAAAAAAUAAUAAUUUAUCACAAUAAAAAAUAGAUUAAUAUUAGUAAUAACAAAGCCACUCUAAGUCUUAUCAACUAUUCAUAUUUUUUCUAAUUUUAGACUUAAAUAUUUUCUUGUAACUUAUGAUAUCUAUUUGGCUCUUUAUAUUUUAUUACCACUUACACACACACCCCCGCAUGCAUGUAUAUCCCUUCAGUGCACUGAAAUGUACGUAGUUUCGUAACCUAAUUUUGUGAAGUCAGUCAGCUCACACUAACUUAGUCCGAUGGAAUGGGUUUUCGGAAGGUUUGUUAAAUGCGCAAAACUUAAUGCAUGCACAAGAUAGAUUCAUCGCCUUCGUCCUUGACCUGCACAAAUCAACUCCCAAAACUCAAGCGCAAGAGCGAUGUGCAACCCCCCCUCCACACCAAUCCUCCCGACGAUUUUCCAUGUUGAGUCGACAUCUGCCCGCAAUGUCUCACCUGCGAUGGUGAAAGCCGUUGGGUGUUGGAAUUUUGUAGCAGGCAAAAACUAGUCCUACAGCACUGCAAUCGAAACUCUAGCAGAAGCUUCUCUUCAUGGCGGUGUCAGCGUUGAUGCUGCCGCAGCAACAAGUAGACCCAGGAACUCGCUGGAAUAGCAGAGCCAUGGUCGUUGAAAUCCCGAUUUGAGGAGUUCCCUGCCGCCUCCCUUCCAUUUAGAAUCGUAUCGGCUUCGCCGGCAAAAUCUCGAGUGCCAUCGGCGAAAUCACCUUUACGGGUUGCGAAAUCUCCAACUCUACCUACAUUGAAGGAGCUUCUGUACGAACCAACUCCAGAACUCAAACAGCCUUUGGCUGCCCCAUCCAAAUCUCCUCGACAAAGUUUACGGUCCUUGUGGAGCGCCCGGGAAGAUCGGCCCCCGACGUCUUUCCUCUCCAACUCGAAGAAUGUGCCCACCUUGCAGAGAAGUCUUCAGCAGUCAGCCGUGGAGACGACGUCGACAUUUUUCCCAUCAACUGCAACUUUUGCGCCUCCUAUUGCACAUACCUCUCUACCUUUGUCUCCUAGCACUGUCGCGGGUCAACCGCAUUACAUCACGCCCAUCACGUCAGCACGUGGGCAGGAUGGAGCGACUCGGAAAUCAACGAGUCCGGCUAGGUUGCUUGUUUCCACCAAGCGCCUCGCCUUCUGGAACUC
This 1224-nucleotide long non-coding RNA is filed under the name Physcomitrium patens. RNAcentral describes it as "long non-coding RNA (PPAT_LNC004289)". The record is from RNAcentral. Lineage: Eukaryota; Viridiplantae; Streptophyta; Bryopsida; Funariales; Funariaceae.